This 856-nucleotide ribosomal RNA is filed under the name uncultured Peredibacter sp. Its description in RNAcentral is "bacterial SSU rRNA". It matches the Rfam family "Bacterial small subunit ribosomal RNA", at positions 8 to 905 of the family's 1533-position model. The record is from RNAcentral. Lineage: Bacteria; Pseudomonadati; Bdellovibrionota; Bacteriovoracia; Bacteriovoracales; Bacteriovoracaceae.
AGAGUUUGAUCCUGGCUCAGAACGAACGCUGGCGGCGUGCCUAAUACAUGCAAGUCGAGCGAUCCUAUUUACUUAGGAGAGCGGCGAACGGGUGAGUAACACGUUGGAACCUACCCCUUAGUGAGGGAUAACUCCGAGAAAUCGGAGCUAAUACCGCAUAAUCCCGCAAGGGUAAAGUCGCAAGACGCUAAGGGAGGGGCCUGCGGCCUAUCAGCUAGUUGGUGAGGUAAUGACUCACCAAGGCUAUGACGGGUAGCUGGUCUGAGAGGAUGAUCAGCCACAAGGGAACUGAGACACGGUCCCUACUCCUACGGGAGGCAGCAGUAAGGAAUAUUCCGCAAUGACCGAAAGGUUGACGGAGCAACGCCGCGUGUGGGAUGACACCCGAAAGGGCGUAAACCACUUUUCUGAGGGAGCAAAUUUUGAGUUAACUUCAGGAAUAAGUACCGGCUAACUACGUGCCAGCAGCAGCGGUAAUACGUAGGGUGCAAGCGUUACCCGGAAUUAUUGGGCGUAAAGCGUCCGUAGGCGGUUUUUUAAGUCUGGUGUAAAAGUUCGGAGCCUAACUCCGAGAUCGUACUGGAAACUGAAAGACUAGAGAUAUGCAGAGGCUAGUGGAAUGCGAUGUGUAGGGGUAAAAUCCGUUGAUAUAUCGUAGAACACCAAAAGCGAAGGCAGCUAGCUGGGCAUAUUCUGACGCUGAGGGACGAAAGCGUGGGGAGCAAACAGGAUUAGAUACCCUGGUAGUCCACGCCGUAAACUAUGGAUACUCGGUGUUUUCAUUUUUUGGAAGUGCCUAAGGUAACCCGUUAAGUAUCCUCGCCUGGGGACUACGAGCGCAAGCUUAAAACUCAAA